UCAUCUUCGGGGGUAGAGCACUGUUUCGGCUAGGGGGUCAUCCCGACUUACCAACCCGAUGCAAACUACGAAUACCGAAGAAUGUUAUCACGGGAGACACACGGCGGGUGCUAACGUCCGUCGUGAAGAGGGAAACAACCCAGACCGCCAGCUAAGGUCCCAAAGUCAUGGUUAAGUGGGAAACGAUGUGGGAAGGCCCAGACAGCCAGGAUGUUGGCUUAGAAGCAGCCAUCAUUUAAAGAAAGCGUAAUAGCUCACUGGUCGAGUCGGCCUGCGCGGAAGAUGUAACGGGGCUAAACCAUGCACCGAAGCUGCGGCAGCGACACUAUGUGUUGUUGGGUAGGGGAGCGUUCUGUAAGCCGUUGAAGGUGGCCUGUGAGGGUUGCUGGAGGUAUCAGAAGUGCGAAUGCUGACAUAAGUAACGAUAAUGCGGGUGAAAAACCCGCACGCCGGAAGACCAAGGGUUCCUGUCCAACGUUAAUCGGGGCAGGGUGAGUCGACCCCUAAGGCGAGGCCGAAAGGCGUAGUCGAUGGGAAACAGGUUAAUAUUCCUGUACUCGGUGUUACUGCGAAGGGGGGACGGAGAAGGCUAUGUUGGCCGGGCGACGGUUGUCCCGGUUUAAGCAUGUAGGCGGAUGUUCCAGGUAAAUCCGGAACGU
RNAcentral lists this ribosomal RNA (659 nucleotides) under Klebsiella michiganensis. Its description in RNAcentral is "bacterial LSU rRNA". It matches the Rfam family "Bacterial large subunit ribosomal RNA", at positions 890 to 1550 of the family's 2925-position model. The record is from RNAcentral. Lineage: Bacteria; Pseudomonadati; Pseudomonadota; Gammaproteobacteria; Enterobacterales; Enterobacteriaceae. RNAcentral also lists the same sequence under 1 other name.